This 401-nucleotide long non-coding RNA is filed under the name Olea europaea subsp. europaea. The record is from RNAcentral. Lineage: Eukaryota; Viridiplantae; Streptophyta; Magnoliopsida; Lamiales; Oleaceae.
CUGAAUAAGGGAUAUAUACAAAGAAAUUUGUGGCGGCUACUUUUGGGCACAAAGAGGGCUAAUUUUGGGAGCAACUUUUAGGCAUAAAGAGGUGCUGAAUUAAUAUAUAUACCCACCAAAAAGGACAGCCAGAUAGCUGUUUUUGAGGGGAAAAAAACCAUUGUGGCUAAUGGGUUGGAUUAUUUACAUGGUCAGGAACAGUUGGCAUUUGGAGAGAUAAAACACAGAUGGUUGAGGAGCUGGAAGGGAAAUAUUUUAUUUAGGCAUACAAGUUGGCGUUAACGCGAAAUUGCAACCACUAAUCACGUUUCAUCGUAUUUUAGUGGCGUUUUUCAUUCUUUCUUUGUUUAAUUUCGACAAUAUGGUUGGCUAAUUUUUUCUAUUGCUAGGAUGUAAUGAAC